This 487-nucleotide ribosomal RNA is filed under the name uncultured bacterium. RNAcentral's name for it is "bacterial SSU rRNA". It matches the Rfam family "Bacterial small subunit ribosomal RNA", at positions 29 to 518 of the family's 1533-position model. The record is from RNAcentral.
AUGAACGCUGGCGGCGUGCUUAACACAUGCAAGUCGAACGGAGCCUAGCGAGUGCUUGCACUUGCGAAAGCUUAGUGGCGGACGGGUGAGUAACGCGGUGGGUAACCUGCCCUAUACUGGGGGAUAACAGUUGGAAACGACUGCUAAUACCGCAUAAGCCUACGGUGCCGCAUGACACAGUAAGGAAAAACUCCGGUGGUAUAGGAUCGGACCCGCGUCUGAUUAGCUAGUUGGUGAGGUAACGGCCCACCAAGGCGACGAUCAGUAGCCGGCCUGAGAGGGUGAACGGCCACAUUGGGACUGAGACACGGACCCAAACUCCGUACGGGAGGCAGCAGGUGGGGAAUAUUGCACAAUGGGGGAAACCCUGAUGCAGCGAACCGCCGCGUGAGCGAAGAAGUAUUUCGGUAUGUAAAGCUCUAUCAGCAGGGAAGAUAAUGACGGUACCUGACUAAGAAGCACCGGCUAAAUACGUGCCAGCAGCAGC